UGCAAGUCGGACGAGACUUUUCGCUGUAGCAAUACGGUGGAAAGUUAGUGGCGAACGGGUGCUUAACACGUGGGCAACCUGCCGAGAAGUGGGGGAUAGCUCGCCGAAAGGCGAAUUAAUACCGCAUGUGAUUAGAGAGGACAUCCUUUCGAAAUUAAAGUCGGGGCAACCUGACGCUUUUUGUGGGGCCCGCGGCCUAUCAGCUAGUUGGUGAGGUAACGGCUCACCAAGGCUUUGACGGGUAGCUGGUCUGAGAGGACGACCAGCCACACUGGGACUGAGACACGGCCCAGACACCUACGGGUGGCAGCAGUCGAGAAUUUUUGACAAUGGGGGAAACCCUGAUCGAGCGACGCCGCGUGGAGGAUGAAGGUCUUCGGAUUGUAAACUCCUGUCAUUGGGGAACAAGGUGCGUACGUUAACUGCGUGUGCAUUGAUAGUACUCGAAGAGGAAGAGACGGCUAACUCUGUGCCAGCAGCCGCGGUAAUACAGAGGUCUCAAGCGUUGUUCGGAUUCAUUGGGCGUAAAGGGUGCGUAGGCGGCGCGGUAAGUCGGGUGUGAAAUCUCGGGGCUUAACUCCGAAACUGCAUUCGAUACUGCCGUGAUUGAGGACUGGAGAGGAGACUGGAAUUUACGGUGUAAGCGGUGAAAUGCGUAGAUAUCGUAAGGAAGACCAGUGGCGAAGGCGGGUCUCUGGACAGUUCCUGACGCUGAGGCACGA
Molecule: ribosomal RNA, 722 nt
Filed under: uncultured bacterium
Lineage: Bacteria
Description: bacterial SSU rRNA
Rfam family: Bacterial small subunit ribosomal RNA
Source: RNAcentral